Long non-coding RNA from Ipomoea nil (Japanese morning glory), 1000 nucleotides. RefSeq lists it as uncharacterized. NCBI's taxonomy places the organism in Eukaryota, Viridiplantae, Streptophyta, Magnoliopsida, Solanales, Convolvulaceae. The record is from RefSeq and is a predicted model, not a curated record. The transcript is spliced from 4 exons.
UUUAUUUUGCUCACUUGGUUUCCUUUUGAUGCCUAUAAUUGUUGACUUAGUAAUCUUCUUCAUUGCACUGUCUAUUGUGUGUACUUGCAACUGCUAAUGUCAAUUGUCUCUCUGGCUGAGGUCUCAAACUGGAAAACUAUUUUUGUAGUUAGAUGGGGCAGCUAUCAGUAGAUUGGUUCAUUGUAGCAAAUUUAUAUUUUUUUAAUGAUUUUGCGAUUCGAAGUGGAACUGAAGGGUUUUCUCUUAUUAGUAAUGAUAGCUAGCCAUCAAUUAUAUUUAAUAUCUAAAGAAUGUUUUACUUUCCCUAGGAAUGAUUAGUUUUUACUUCACAGCCCAAUAAUUCCAUUUUAUUCAAUUUCUGUAUAUAAGUUUGUAGAAUAUUGAACACGUUGCUUCUUUGCUUCUAAUUGUCUAAAAAUCUUUUUUGUGCCAGUGUAUCCUUUCCUUUUGGUGUUGUUCUUUAAUAUUGGACACACAAUUUCUAACCUGUUUUUAUUUUUUUUCUUAUUUUGUUGAGGAUGGAAUAACCAAAGCUCUGGAUACAUUGAAGAGAAUGAAGCAGAAAAUAAGACAUCAAUCAAAGAAACUAAAAGCAGCAUGGUGAUCUAAGCAAAUAGGAUGGAAUAACCCAAGCUCUGGUGGAAUUGUAGAGAAUCAAGCAGAAAAUAAGACAUCAAUCAAAGAAACUAAAAGCAGCAUGGGGAUCUAAGCAAAUAGUUUUUGGUGGAAACCAGCAUGGACCAAAAUUAGAUUUGAGAGUUGCAAACACAGUAAAAGAAGAACUUGCAAAUAGGCACUUCAUAGACCCUUACUGCUCUCACCUGGAUUGCCCUGAGCUGGUGUUCCGACUUGAUAUUCUUGACAGCAACGAACAGGCUUGGCAUCUUGACAGACCAAUACUAUUUCGAAAAGGAAGUAAACUGAACUUAAUGUGUGAAGGAUUUUUGCCAUGAAGAACCGGGGUAUUUAUACAGGUUCAUAAUUCAAAUUUACCAUUGAU